GGUUAAAAAGCUCGUAGUUGGAUCUCGGCAGGUAGGGGGCGGUUCGCUUCUGACGGCACUGCCCCAUUUACCUGUGUUUUUGACGGAGGUUUCACGGUGAUUUUCAUCGAUUGUCGUGAUACGCCGUCAGGUUUACUUUGAAAAAAUUAGAGUGCUCAAAGCAGGCUACAAGCUUGAAUAUUUGUGCAUGGAAUAAUGGAAUAGGAAGUCGUUUCUAUUUUUUUGGUUUUCAGAAAUUGACUUAAUGAUUAAUAGGGACAGCCGGGGGCAUUCGUACUCAGACGACAGAGGUGAAAUUCUUGGACCGUCUGAGGACGAGCUACUGCGAAAGCAUUUGCCAAGAGUGUUUUCAUUAAUCAAGAACGAAAGUUAGAGGUUCGAAGGCGAUCAGAUACCACCCUAGUUCUAACCAUAAACGAUGCUGACUAGCGAUCCGUAGCUGUUUUCUAUGUAGGCUCUACGGGAAGCUUCCGGGAAACCAAAGUUUUUGAGUUCCGGGGGAAAGUAUGGUUG
RNAcentral lists this ribosomal RNA (513 nucleotides) under uncultured marine eukaryote. RNAcentral describes it as "partial 18S ribosomal RNA". It matches the Rfam family "Eukaryotic small subunit ribosomal RNA", at positions 617 to 1131 of the family's 1831-position model. The record is from RNAcentral.